Molecule: long non-coding RNA, 1082 nt
Filed under: Olea europaea subsp. europaea
Lineage: Eukaryota; Viridiplantae; Streptophyta; Magnoliopsida; Lamiales; Oleaceae
Source: RNAcentral
CUUUUGCGUCACACAUGCACACUGUAAUAUGUGUCGGAAGAUGUGAUGUUUUUAUGCCUGUUUUAUGUGCGGUGAAGAAAUGAUGUUGAUUAAAUGUGUUGGUGUGAUGAAAUAGGAAUGGAUUUCUGUGAUUGUUUGUUUAAUUUCUUUGAUUAUUUACUGAUCUGAAUAACUGUGUCCGCAAAUGGUUUGGUCCUAAUGGUUUAACUGAAUUUGAUUUGAUCUAUCCAUUGCUGCUAAAUUUGCGUGUUUUGAUGUUAAUUUUGGAGUAUUCUUAGAUCUAUUAGUGUUUAGAGGAGUCUAGCCUUGGAUCUGGAUUUCUGUUGGUUUAGAUUCAAUUUAAACUCGCGAGUAAUAAAUUUUUGAUCUCAUUACUUGCAAUUGGACGGUGGUAUCUGGAUCUGUUGCAAAAAUUUUGUAAUUAGGUGAUGCGAAUUAGUAAAUCUGAUAUGCUUUGUUCUUAUAGAUAUGAAAUGCUCUGUUCUAAAAGUUUUGAUCUUUCAAAAAGAAUUAUCAAAAGCUGCAUUUGGUUUAAGUUUUUAAUUUUCUAUGAUUCUUUAUACAUGAUCCAUGCGUUAGAUCUACUUUGAAGCUUAGAGUUGGAUUUUGAGAAGGGUGAUUACAAGAUACGUUGAUUUUGGUAAUCUAUGCGAUCAAAUGCUGGGUAAUGGGAGGAAGCAUAAUCUUUUGGUCGAGUUGAUUUAGCUGAUCUUUCUGAAUGUAACUAAAUAUGUAUGCCUGUAAAUCUCUUACUGUAUUUUAUGCUUUAAAUUGCAUAAAAUUGUUUUCAUCCGUUAGCAAAACUCUCUUUCUCGUAGAAAAAGAAUCUAAAUUUUCAUUUAAUUGAUAUUUUCAUAAGUAACUAACUUCAUUUCUGAUCAGGGUUUACUUUCUAGAAUGUUACUGAAAUUAUCUUAGUUGACCUCAAAUUUAUUAGGAAUAAGACUUGGUUUGUUGUUAGUGAAAGUUCCGUGAUCUUGUUAUGAGGAUAUCAUAUGUUACAUUUCUCGCCAGGAAAUAUAAGCAUAUCUUUUGUAAUACAGGUAUUAAGCCUUUCGUGCUAGGGCUUAAGAGUAUGGACC